Cicer arietinum (chickpea) is the source of this 160-nucleotide non-coding RNA. The record is from Rfam. NCBI's taxonomy places the organism in Eukaryota, Viridiplantae, Streptophyta, Magnoliopsida, Fabales, Fabaceae.
AUAUUGAAGUGGAUGGAGUCAAUGGGUGAUCAGAAAGGUCAUUGCUUAGUUUUGUGUCUUCCAUUGCACUUAGGAGGAGUAUUCACCUAAGGUCUACCUAAGUGGUGGAGGGUACAUCAUAAUUUGUUAUAGUGGUGGCUUGCGUUUGCCUUGUCCCUUC